This 494-nucleotide ribosomal RNA is filed under the name uncultured bacterium. RNAcentral's name for it is "partial 16S ribosomal RNA". It matches the Rfam family "Bacterial small subunit ribosomal RNA", at positions 28 to 507 of the family's 1533-position model. The record is from RNAcentral.
GACGAACGCUGGCGGCGCGCUUAACACAUGCAAGUCGAACGGAAAGGCCUGCUUUCCCUUGUGGAUUGCGGGUACUCGAGUGGCGAACGGGUGAGUAACACGUGAGUGAUCUGCCCCCAACUUGGGUAUAAGCCUGGGAAACUGGGUCUAAUUCCCGAUAGGACUGCAGGGUGGUGCCUGUGGUGGAAAACGAUUUUCUAGUGGUUGGGGAUGAGCUCGCGGCCUAUCAGCUUGUUGGUGGGGUAAUGGCCUACCAAGGCGGCGACGGGUAGCCGGCGUGAGAGGGUGGACGGAGACAUUGGGACUGGGACAAGGCCCCGACUCCUACGAGAGGCAGCAGUGGGGAAUAUUGCACCAUGGGCGGAAGCCUGAUGCAGCGACGGCGCGUGGGAGAUGACGGCCUUCGGGUUGUAAACUCCUUUCGACCGCGAGGAAGGCACCUGGUUGGAAGGGUGGUGACGGUAGUGGUAGAAGAAGCACCGGCUAACUACGUG